GACAGAGGAUGCAAGCGUUAUCCAGAAUGAUUCGGCGUAAAGCGCCUGUAGGUGGCUUUUUAAGUCCGCCGUUAAAUCCUAGGGCUCAACCCUGGACAGGCGGUGGAAACUACCAAGCUGGAGUACGGUAGGGGUAGAGGGAAUUUCCGGUGGAGCGGUGAAAUGCGUAGAGAUCGGAAAGAACACCAACGGCGAAAGCACUCUGCUGGGCCGACACUGACACUAAGAGACGAAAGCUAGGGGAACGAAUGGG
Molecule: ribosomal RNA, 253 nt
Filed under: uncultured bacterium
Lineage: Bacteria
Description: partial 16S ribosomal RNA
Rfam family: Bacterial small subunit ribosomal RNA
Source: RNAcentral